RNAcentral lists this ribosomal RNA (105 nucleotides) under Caerostris darwini. The record is from RNAcentral. Lineage: Eukaryota; Metazoa; Arthropoda; Arachnida; Araneae; Araneidae.
AACGGCCAUACCAUGCUGAAUAUACCGGUUCUCGUUAGAUCACCGAAGUCAAGCAUCAUUGGGCGCGGUCAGUACUUGGGUGGGUGACCACCUGGGAACACUGGG